AUGUAUGUAACUCUAGAGAAAGACUUUUCCCCGGGUCCGCCACUGCUGCCCCUCCGCGGGUCUCCGCUGAUCCGACCCCGUGCGAGGCCGCCACCGUCGGGCUCUGGGGCGUUGGGGGAAGGCUGCGGUCACAGCCCACUCGGUUGCCCUCCAGGGCCGCCGCACCUCGCUGGCAGACUCGCGCGGGCCCCGACCAAUCGCACUGACCCACCAAGCCUAGCGAGAGCUCAGGCCCAGUACGUGGCAGGUGGGGAACGAAGAGGGGCGGGAAUAAGAAGAAAAUCUGUUCUUUCGCUCCGCCUCGGAGCGAUCGGACCGACCCAGGACGCAUGCGCAACGUCGAUAGGGCGGGGACUAAACACGCCGGGGUCUGCAGGGGUCUGAGUCUCUGCUUUCUCACUGGAUGACUGGAUAAGUGUAGGAAGUGCACGCAGAACAGAUGCACGCAUGCGCGGGGCGUGACCAGGCACUUCCGGUUUUCCUGAACAGUAGUAUUUCCCGUUUCUCGCCCGUGGGCGGGACAUAAUUUAGUCUUCUGAACUCUGAGAUCCAAGAGUAGGCGUUUGUCUAAGUUUGUGUCUUUUUGUUGUUUUGUAGCCAUUGUAGUUCUCCUAGUCCUAUCUCGAAAAAACUAACCUUUUCCCCGCCUUCCUUCUACAAACUCAUUCAUUCAUUAUUGGGCGCCUACGCUUUGUCAGGCACUGUGCGGGGAAUGGGAAUGAAUCAGUUUGUGAACAAGGAGUUCCCAACAGCGUUUACGAGACAGGACAGAUAUAAUGGGUGUGUAAAAGGUGAAGGCUAGGGAAUUAAAACGGAUUAAGGAUCCCAGAGACAUUUUGGAAAUAAGAUAUUUGAGCGUUACAUACUCUUUUCGUUUAUCUAAAGCAUUUGUCUUGAAUAUGCGUGUUUAUAUAAGAAGUAUGCUGGCUUUAGACUGAAGCCUGAAAUUUGGGAGGAGAGGGGAAUAGGUGAUGGAAUCAGCAUGGAGAGGGGAGUGCUGUUUUAAAAGUUGCUGGAAACUUUUGCUAAGCUAAAGAGCAAAAAUCAAUUUGAACUUACUUGGUCCUCGGUUGUUCCUCAGAUAGGUAAAAUGAAUUUAAGGUGAGAAGUUAUGUACUUUUAGUAAAGAGUGACAUUUUUGCAGUUGUAAGUAUGAAAAAUUAUGUUUGACAGUGAAAUAUGUGAAUUUAGAAUUCUUUGCCUCAGAAAUGUAUUUUCCAACAUUCUAUGUAUUAUUCUUUGAGCAAUUGCUUGGCAGCAUUUGGAGAGCAAAAGACUGUAGUAAGAAUGAAAAAAGUUCCAGAUUUUCUCCAAAGACUUGUUCUUCAUUGCUUGUAAUUUAGAACUGAAUGAUGCAGAUUUGGGGAAACUAACUUUUGUUCGUAAUACUAUUCUGAUGUCUUUAAGAUGGUUUGAGAUUGGAUUAAACCACACAAAUACAGGUGGAGAUAAAAUUCUGGCAAGCAGUGAAUAACACCACUGUCAAUAUCCCUAAAGAAAACUCAGAGCCUGGGGCAGAGGAUGAACCUUAGCCUGGCAUGAAGGAAAGCAUUUCCUCUCUCUAGGCUCCUGGGCAAAGGGCUUGCCAUUGAGAAGAAAUAAAUUGAUCCCUGCUACACUGGGGCCAAAGACUAUAGUAAGGGUCAACACCAAAAUCAGAUUGGUUAUAUUCUUUGCAGCCAAAGAUGGAGAAGCUCUAUACAAUCAGCAAAAACAAGACCAGGAGCUGACUGUGGCUCAGAUCAUGAACUCCUUAUUGCCAAAAUCAGACUUAAAUUGAAGAAAGGUCCAUCUAGUCAAGGCUAUGGUUUUUCCAGUGGUCAUGUAUGGAUGGGAGAGUUGGACUGUGAAGAAAGCUGAGCGCUGAAGAAUUGAUGCUUUUGAACUGUGGUGUUGGAGAAGACUCUUGAGAAUCCGUUGGACUGCAAAAAGAUCCAACCAGUCCAUUCUGAAAGAGAUCAGCCCUGGGUGUUUUUUGGAAGGAACAAUGCUGAAGCUGAAACUCCAGUACUUUGGCCAACUCAUGCGAAGAGUUGACUCACUGGAAAAGACUCUGAUGCUGGGAGGGAUUGGGGGCAGGAGGAGAAGGGGACGACCGAGGAUGAGAUGGCUGGAUGGCAUCACUGACUCGAUGGACAUGAGUCUGAGUGAACUCCGGGAGUUGGUGAUGGACAGGGAGGCCUGGCAUGCUGCAAUUCAUGGGGUUGCAAAGAGUCGGACAUGACUGAGCGACUGAACUGAACUGAACUGAAUGAAGGUAUUCUAGGGAAAACCACUAAACCAUUCAGGUAUGACCUAAAUCAAAUCCAUUAUUAUUAUACAGUGGAAGUGAGAAAUAGAUUUAAGGGACCAGAUCUGAUAGAUAGAGUGCCUGAUGAACUAUGGACGGAGGCUCAUGACAUUGUACAAGAGACAGGGAUCAAUACCAUCCCCAUGGAAAAGAAAUGCAAAAAAAGCAAAAUGGCUGUCUGGGGAGGCCUUACAAAUAGCUGUGAAAAGAAGAGA
This 2505-nucleotide long non-coding RNA is filed under the name Ovis aries (sheep). RNAcentral describes it as "lncRNA (ENSOARG00000025585.1)". The record is from RNAcentral. Lineage: Eukaryota; Metazoa; Chordata; Mammalia; Artiodactyla; Bovidae.